This 502-nucleotide ribosomal RNA is filed under the name uncultured Glomeromycotina. RNAcentral describes it as "partial small subunit ribosomal RNA". It matches the Rfam family "Eukaryotic small subunit ribosomal RNA", at positions 591 to 1092 of the family's 1831-position model. The record is from RNAcentral. Lineage: Eukaryota; Fungi; Glomeromycota.
CCAAUAGCGUAUAUUAAAGUUGUUGCAGUUAAAAAGCUCGUAGUUGAAUUUCGGGGUUUGUCAGUUGGUCGAGCUUAAUUGUCCGUACUGACUCGAUGGAUUCCUACCUUCUGAAUAACCAGCAUGCUAUUAAGUUAGUGCGUUGGGGAAGCAGAUCUAUUACCUUGAAAAAAUUAGAGUGCUUAAAGCAAGCUAUUGCUUAAAUAGAUUAGCAUGGAAUAAUAAAAUAGGACGGCAUGGUUUUAUUUUGUUGGUUUCUAGGAUCACCGUAAUGAUUAAUAGGGAUAGUUGGGGGCAUUAGUAUUCAAUUGUCAGAGGUGAAAUUCUUGGAUUUAUUGAAGACUAACUUCUGCGAAAGCAUUUGUCAAGGAUGUUUUCAUUAAUCAAGAACGAAAGUUAGGGGAUCGAAGACGAUCAGAUACCGUCGUAGUCUUAACCAUAAACUAUGCCGACUAGGAAUCGGACGAUGUUGAUUUUUUAAUGACUCGUUCGGCACCUUACG